AGGGAUUACCUCAGUAACGGCGAGUGAAGCGGUAACAGCUCAAAUUUGAAAUCUGGGUCUUUCAGGCUCCGAGUUGUAAUUUGUAGAAGAUGCUUCGGGUGCGGCUCCGGUCUAAGUUCCUUGGAACAGGACGUCAUAGAGGGUGAGAAUCCCGUAUGUGAUCGGUUGCUUGCGCCCAUGUGAAGCUCUUUCGACGAGUCGAGUUGUUUGGGAAUGCAGCUCCAAAUGGGUGGUAUAUUUCAUCUAAAGCUAAAUAUUGGCCAGAGACCGAUAGCGCACAAGUAGAGUGAUCGAAAGAUGAAAAGCACUUUGGAAAGAGAGUUAAACAGUACGUGAAAUUGUUGAAAGGGAAGCGCUUGCAACCAGACUUGCGUGUCGUCGAUCAUCCGGGGUUCUCCCCGGUGCACUCGGCUUCACUCAGGCCAGCAUCGGUUUCGGUGGUUGGAUAAAGGCCUUGGGAAUGUAGCUCCUCUCGGGGAGUGUUAUAGCCCUCGGUGCAAUGCAGCCUACCGGGACCGAGGACCGCGCUUCGGCUAGGAUGCUGGCGUAAUGGUUGUAAGCGACCCGUCUUGAAACACGGACCAAGGAGUCUAACAUCUAUGCGAGUGUUUGGGUGUCAAACCCAUACGCGUAAUGAAAGUGAACGGAGGUGAGAACCCUUAAGGGUGCAUCAUCGACCGAUCCUGAUGUCUUCGGAUGGAUUUGAGUAAGAGCAUAGCUGUUGGGACCCGAAAGAUGGUGAACUAUGCCUGAAUAGGGUGAAGCCAGAGGAAACUCUGGUGGAGGCUCGCAGCGGUUCUGACGUGCAAAUCGAUCGUCAAAUUUGGGUAUAGGGGCGAAAGACUAAUC
RNAcentral lists this ribosomal RNA (849 nucleotides) under Neofabraea kienholzii. RNAcentral's name for it is "partial large subunit ribosomal RNA". It matches the Rfam family "Eukaryotic large subunit ribosomal RNA", at positions 70 to 936 of the family's 3401-position model. Lineage: Eukaryota; Fungi; Ascomycota; Leotiomycetes; Helotiales; Dermateaceae. The record is from RNAcentral.